RNAcentral lists this ribosomal RNA (99 nucleotides) under Polyangium sp. 6x1. RNAcentral's name for it is "partial 16S ribosomal RNA". It matches the Rfam family "Bacterial small subunit ribosomal RNA", at positions 1437 to 1533 of the family's 1533-position model. The record is from RNAcentral. Lineage: Bacteria; Pseudomonadati; Myxococcota; Polyangiales; Polyangiaceae.
AACCCGCAAGGGAGGCAGGCCCCCAAGGAGUGGCUGGUAACUGGGGUGAAGUCGUAACAAGGUAGCCGUAGGGGAACCUGCGGCUGGAUCACCUCCUUU